CCGAAGCUUGGGGCUUGCACCUGCUGAAACAAUGGCCUGAGAUGUAUGUUGGCCCCUUUUAGCUACAGCUGGGAUGCAGAACACCAAGUCCUGAGGCUACAUGAAGCAGCUGAAGGUUGCACUAUUGGCUUCCCUACUUUUGAGGUUUUGGGACUCCGACUGGCUUCCUGGCUCCUCACCUUGCAGAUGGUCUAUUGUGGGACCUCAUCUUGUGAUCAUGUCUCAGUAUGUUGCUCAGACUGGUCUUGAACUCCUGGCCUCAAGUGAUCCUCCCACCUCAGCCUCUUGAGUAGCUGGGACUACAGUUGCAAGCCAUCCUGUCUGGCUAGUUAUCUUUAAUUAAUGACAUUUGUUAAAGUAACACAAAAAUCCUAGAAACAUUUGCCUGUUGAAACUUUCUGAUAAUUUGAAUGAAGUAAAGUUUGGAGUCUCUGUCUCAUUGAAAAUACUCAAGGUUAAUAUAAUAAAAACAGCAAAGCAGUAAUGCAUAAAAGAAUUAUUAGAAGUCUAAUAAAAUUAUUUGGACCUCCAACUAUAGCAACACUGAUUAAUGACUGCUUUUUAAUUAAUUGAAAGUUGUUCAAUCAUCGUGCCAUUUCAUUUCACCUGAGAGUUUUUAUAAAAGGGUCAGAGCCAAAACAUAUGCUAGUUCAAUUUGCAAUAAGGUAUACUUAAGCAAUUUCAUUCUUCUUGGCAGGGCAAGUGUGGGCUAUUCAUUUCUCAUUUAUUCACGGUGAUGAUAUUCCCUGUUCAGCUGGCUAGUGUGAUCAAGGAAGACAG
Molecule: long non-coding RNA, 780 nt
Filed under: Homo sapiens (human)
Lineage: Eukaryota; Metazoa; Chordata; Mammalia; Primates; Hominidae
Description: HSALNT0085317
Source: RNAcentral